CGGCAUAUCCAAAUUUGGUGCAUGUGGCUCGAAAGCCCUAGGAGGAGUUACUCUUGAUAAAUUUUUGUCUAAGCUUAAACAGGAAAACAGAAUGUUGGCUUCUACAAAGCGACAUCAUAAAACUAAAUGCUGUAGAGAAUGUUUGAGGUAAUAAUAAGGUCCUAGUUUACUUUAGAAAUUUAAUUAUCUGUGCUGCGCUUCCUCUGAAGAAAAUUCCUGGAUAGGGAAUCAUGAGGCCAUGAGGGUUUUUAUAAAUCAUCUUUUAUUUAACACAGGUUGCUGUUUUCCUCUGUAAACACACACACACACACACACACACACACACACACACACACACACACACACACACACACACUUACACUUAAAUUCUCCCAUCAGAGUUGAUCAUGCGAGUGUAUUUUUCACUCCUACCUUCCACGACAGCACAUCAAAUUCUUACACAGAUUUCAGCUUGAUGAAAACUGUAGAUCCCCGGACAUACGAUGUUGUCUGUUACUCUUCACUGUGGUUUUUUUGGUGUUUUACUCCAUGACAUCGAUGUUUCUUUGUCUCAUCUCUGGGUCUUUAUCUAAAACUGUUUGGGGCUGUAUUAACUGUUAUAAAAUAUCCAAUUUAUUUGAAAAACAUAAAAAAUUUAGGCUCAUUAUGUUGAUAAUGUAUUUGAAUAUUAUAACUUUACUAAUGAUGGCUUGUGAUUACUACUGCAACACAAUAUAUAAAAAAAAUAUAUGCUAUUGUUCAUUUCCACAAUCAUAUAUAUAUAUAUAUACACACACGACUAAUUGAUAUAUUGACGACUGAUUGAACAUCUCAGACAUAUAUACGUGUGUGUAUAUACAUUCAUAUACACACGUAUAUAUGUCUGAGAUGUUCAAUUAGUCGUAAACACUAACCACGUUUCAGCUCAGUAACCCGUGUUCGACUUUUUCUUUUGUAUUUUUUUAUGACUGGUCAAGUCACAAAUUUGCAAGUGUGUAUUAGAGUUAAUCGGCACUGUUUCCGUUUUUAACCUAUUUGUUAAAGUUUGAUGUCUAACAAACAAACAAAAAAAAAACAAACACCCGGCCGAAGCGACUGCCGUGCGAUAACCGUGACCGUUGGAAACCACUGAUCAUCUCUGUUCUUGGACGAUUUCAGGUCAUGUCAGUAACUGAGCCGUCUGACUCUCCUGAGGGACAGCAACACGAUUUCACCGUGUUCACUACUUUGGAUGGGGUUUGUUAAAAGAUGUAACCACUUCAUUCGGCUUUAAAUGUUUAAAAAGAAAACAAAAUGGUGUCACAGAAUUGUUUUAACUUUGAUGCCUAAAUUAUUCAGGCAGUAAAACUGUUGUACCUGUGUAACAGGGUCCAAACAAAAACAGAUUUUUCCUCCAUUUUCAAAAGCGUAAAACAGAAAGGAUGUUUAUGAUUCCACACAUUUACUAGGUUACUGUGUAAAUUGGAAGCACCUGUUCAUUCAGAUUGGAAAUCAUCCAGCAUCGUGGUUUGCACACAAGUGCACGCUGUCAUUAAAGCAAAAGAAGGACAUAUCCAUCCAUUUUCUACAAUGCUUACACAGGGUCACAGACAAGGAGCUAUCCCCAGGGACUCUGGGCACAAGAACGAUAAAAUGAAACUGGGCAAACGAAAAGGAAACUGAGAAUUCGUUCAGAAGCGGUACGUCAGCGAUUGCAUCAUCGCUCUGCAUCCAAACUCACGACACUCGACACGACAGCUGCCUUUUGUAGACGUCGAAUUUGCCGGCCGAUCGUCCCGACUUGCGCUGUUUGAGUUUGCGCGUCCAGCCCUGAGGCAGUGAGGGGUCGUCGUACAAAGGCCCGCGAUCUCGGAUGAUGGAUCGCCGCUGCUUGGCCGAGGAA
Long non-coding RNA from Tachysurus fulvidraco (yellow catfish), 1861 nucleotides. RefSeq lists it as uncharacterized. The transcript is spliced from 4 exons. The record is from RefSeq and is a predicted model, not a curated record. NCBI's taxonomy places the organism in Eukaryota, Metazoa, Chordata, Actinopteri, Siluriformes, Bagridae.